UAGGGAAUCUUCGGCAAUGGGGGGAACCCUGACCGAGCAACGCCGCGUGAGUGAAGAAGGUUUUCGGAUCGUAAAGCUCUGUUGUUAAGGAAGAACGAGUGUGAGAAUGGAAAGUUCAUGCUGUGACGGUACUUAACCAGAAAGGGACGGCUAACUACGUGCCAGCAGCCGCGGUAAUACGUAGGUCCCGAGCGUUGUCCGGAUUUAUUGGGCGUAAAGCGAGCGCAGGCGGUUAGAAAAGUCUGAAGUGAAAGGCAGUGGCUCAACCAUUGUAGGCUUUGGAAACUGUUUAACUUGAGUGCAGAAGGGGAGGGUGGAAUUCCAUGUGUAGCGGUGAAAUGCGUAGAUAUAUGGAGGAACACCAGUGGCGAAGGCGACUCUCUGGUCUGUAACUGACGCUGAGGCUCGAAAGCGUGGGUAGCAAACAGG
RNAcentral lists this ribosomal RNA (429 nucleotides) under Bacteroidota bacterium. Its description in RNAcentral is "Bacteroidetes bacterium partial 16S ribosomal RNA". It matches the Rfam family "Bacterial small subunit ribosomal RNA", at positions 355 to 776 of the family's 1533-position model. The record is from RNAcentral. Lineage: Bacteria; Pseudomonadati; Bacteroidota.